This 572-nucleotide ribosomal RNA is filed under the name uncultured bacterium. RNAcentral describes it as "partial 16S ribosomal RNA". It matches the Rfam family "Bacterial small subunit ribosomal RNA", at positions 355 to 918 of the family's 1533-position model. The record is from RNAcentral.
UGGGGAAUUUUGGACAAUGGGCGCAAGCCUGAUCCAGCCAUGCCGCGUGCGGGAAGAAGGCCUUCGGGUUGUAAACCGCUUUGUCAGGGAAGAAAUCUUCUGAGUUAAUACCUCGGGAGGAUGACGGUACCUGAAGAAUAAGCACCGGCUAACUACGUGCCAGCAGCCGCGGUAAUACGUAGGGUGCAAGCGUUAAUCGGAAUUACUGGGCGUAAAGCGUGCGCAGGCGGUUUUGUAAGACAGAGGUGAAAUCCCCGGGCUCAACCUGGGAACUGCCUUUGUGACUGCAAGGCUUGAGUGCGGCAGAGGGGGGAUGGAAUUCCGCGUGUAGCAGUGAAAUGCGUAGAUAUGCGGAGGAACACCGAUGGCGAAGGCAAUCCCCUGGGCCUGCACUGACGCUCAUGCACGAAAGCGUGGGGAGCAAACAGGAUUAGAUACCCUGGUAGUCCACGCCCUAAACGAUGUCAACUGGUUGUUGGGAAGGUUCCUUCUCAGUAACGUAGCUAACGCGUGAAGUUGACCGCCUGGGGAGUAACGGCCGCAAGGUUGAAAGCUCAAAGGAAUUGACGGGG